GAUGAACGCUGGCGGCGUGCCUAAUACAUGCAAGUCGAGCGAACAGACGAUGAUCUUGCUCCUCUGACGUUAGCGGCGGACGUGUGAGGAACGCGUGUAUAACCUACCUAUAAGACUGGUAUAACUUGGGGAAACCGGAUCUAAUACGAGAGGAUAUAUUGAACCACAUUGGUGGAUGGUAAAAUACGGUUGUUCGGGCACGUAUAGAUGGUUCCGCGCCUGAUUAGCUAGUUGGUAAGUUAACGGUUUAUCAAGGCAACGAUGCGUAGGCGACCUCAGAGGGUGAUAGGCCACACUGGAAGUGAGACACGGUCCAGAGUCCUAAGGGAGGCAGCAGUCGGGAAUCUUACGCAAUGGGCGAAAGCCUGACGGAGUAACGCCGAGUGAGUGACGAAGGCCUUCGGAUCGUAAAAAUCUGUUAUUAGGGAAGAACAAAUGUGUAAGUAAAUAUGCACGUCUUGACGGUAACUAAUAAGAAAGCCACGGCUAACUACGUG
This 497-nucleotide ribosomal RNA is filed under the name uncultured bacterium. RNAcentral's name for it is "partial 16S ribosomal RNA". It matches the Rfam family "Bacterial small subunit ribosomal RNA", at positions 28 to 507 of the family's 1533-position model. The record is from RNAcentral.